Long non-coding RNA from Equus caballus (horse), 476 nucleotides. Lineage: Eukaryota; Metazoa; Chordata; Mammalia; Perissodactyla; Equidae. The record is from Ensembl.
CCUCAGUAUGGCUUGAUGAGCAGUGCCAUGUCCACGCCCAGGACGCGAACCAGCGAAACACUGGGCCGCCUGCAGCGGAACGCGUGAACUUAACCACUCGGCCAAGGGGCCAGCUCCAUUUUGGGUAUUGAAAAUAUACUUAUAAAAUAAAAUGAAGCAUGGAGCUCUUCUAUUUUUGUCUUCACUGAGAAUGUCUGAAUACAGGAAAUAAACUUUGAAGAUUUGGUAAAACUCACCUCUUUGGUACGGCUGAAUUUUAAAAAUCCUCCUGAGGGGGCUGGCCCCUUGGCCGAGUGGUUAAGUUCGUGCGCUCUGCUGCAAGCGGCCCAGUGUUUCAUUGGUUCGAAUCCCGGGUGCGGAUACGGCACUGCUCAUCAAGCCACGCUGAGGCAGCGUCCCAUAUGCCACAACUAGAAGGACCCACAACGAAGAAUAUACAACUAUGUACUGGUGGGCUUUGGGGAGAAAAAGGGAAA